AAAGCAGCAGUUUUUGAAAAUAAAAUCUUGUGGAGAUUGAGGUGGGAUUCCCCUGUUUUA
This 60-nucleotide transfer RNA is filed under the name Microthoracius praelongiceps. RNAcentral describes it as "tRNA-His". Lineage: Eukaryota; Metazoa; Arthropoda; Insecta; Psocodea; Microthoraciidae. The record is from RNAcentral.